Molecule: ribosomal RNA, 500 nt
Filed under: uncultured bacterium
Lineage: Bacteria
Description: bacterial SSU rRNA
Rfam family: Bacterial small subunit ribosomal RNA
Source: RNAcentral
AUUGAACGCUGGCGGCAUGCCUUACACAUGCAAGUCGAACGGCAGCACGGGAGCAAUCCUGGUGGCGAGUGGCGAACGGGUGAGUAAUAUAUCGGAACGUGCCCAGUCGUGGGGGAUAACGUAGCGAAAGCUACGCUAAUACCGCAUACGAUCUACGGAUGAAAGCGGGGGAUCGCAAGACCUCGCGCGAUUGGAGCGGCCGAUAUCAGAUUAGCUAGUUGGUGGGGUAAAAGCUCACCAAGGCGACGAUCUGUAGCUGGUCUGAGAGGACGACCAGCCACACUGGAACUGAGACACGGUCCAGACUCCUACGGGAGGCAGCAGUGGGGAAUUUUGGGACAAUGGGCGAAAGCCUGAUCCAGCAAUGCCGCGUGCAGGACGAAGGCCUUCGGGUUGUAAACUAGCUUUGUUACGGAACGAAAGGUUUUUACUUAAUUAAAGAGAGCCAUGACGGUACCGUAAGAAUAAGACACCGGCUAACUACGUAGCCAGCAGCCGAC